This 205-nucleotide unclassified non-coding RNA is filed under the name plant metagenome. RNAcentral's name for it is "partial contains small subunit ribosomal RNA, internal transcribed spacer 1, and 5.8S ribosomal RNA". The record is from RNAcentral.
UCUCCGUAGGUGAACCUGCGGAGGGAUCAUUACUGAGUGAGGGCCUCUGGCCCGACCUCCAACCCUUUGAUGUCCGACUCUGUUGCCUCGGGGGCGACCCGGCCUUCGGGCCCGGGGCCCCCCGUGGUCCACUCAACUCUGCGUCUUUGCGUCUGAGUAAACAUUAAAUGAAACAAAACUUUCAACAACGGAUCUCUUGGUUCUG